Long non-coding RNA from Peromyscus eremicus (cactus mouse), 558 nucleotides. RefSeq lists it as uncharacterized. Lineage: Eukaryota; Metazoa; Chordata; Mammalia; Rodentia; Cricetidae. The record is from RefSeq and is a predicted model, not a curated record. The transcript is spliced from 3 exons.
GGAACUGAGCAUGUUAGUACUCCAGCUUAUUCUCUUCAUUUCACUGUCAAGAGAAAUCCCUGUCAAGAACUGGGCCUGCUUGCUCAGUCUGCUGCAUGGAACAGCUCCAUUCUCCUGGUCCUCACCUCCUCUAUGUUUCUGAGUCUGGCCUCUAAUGUGACAGACUUCUCUUUUGUCCAGUCUGCCAAAGAUUCAAUUUUGCCAGAUGUCAGAAGUUAAAGACACAGAAUGUAGCACUAGGGCUAAAACUAGAGCCUCUCUGUCACAAACUAUAUCACCGGCCAGAACUCAUCUUGUACUGACUAGGGGGUCUGCUGUUUGAAAUGCCAGAGUGCCACAUUUUGGCACUGUAUGGACUGAAACCCAUCACAGCAGAUUCUGUGAAAUGGGAUGCAGUAUUUCCAUGUUGUCUUCCAUAAGACCAAAAUGAGCUACCAGCCAGAGCCAGAAGUGACCCCUAAACAAAGGGAACAGCUUUCACACUCUUUUAAAACAGUGGGAAAAGAUUUUUACACUGUCCUAAAAUACAAAUAAAAAUUGAUUACCAGUCACUUUUAA